ACCGUCCGAUACAAGGAAACCCGAUCUUACUCCGUCCCCGACUCACAUUUCUAGCCAGAGAAAAAUAAAAAAAUCCUCGGAACCGGCAUAACGGCGAAAUCUAUCCAUUUUCAAAUCGAGCUUAACGAAAUCAAUCUAGGUUUCUAUUUGUUUGCGAGGCUUUGAGUUGGAUUUGGAGUGGCUUCCAUGGACGUCGGAGCCGCUUGGGCUCGUUUCUAGGGUUCCCCGCUUCACGUUCUCAUAUCUCCGGGGAGCGGCGAUGCAGACGGAGGCGCGGGUCGGGGUUGUCAUGGAGGGCGGGGGGCAGAGGGCUCUCGCCUCCGGCCACGCCGUCGCCGUUGACAGCGGGGUCCGGCGGUUCUCCACGGCGCACCACCAGCGGAAUCGGCAGCAGGGCCUGCAGCAGCAGCAGCAGCCGCAGAUCGGAACGUCGGUGCAUCUUCUCGCCGGAGGGGUAGCCGGAGCGGUCAGCAAGACGUGCACGGCUCCCCUCGCUCGCCUCACCAUUCUCUUCCAGGUGCAAGGCAUGCAUUCUGAUGUUGCAACUCUAAGCAAGGCUAGCAUAUGGCAUGAGGCUUCCCGUAUUGUUUAUGAGGAAGGGUUUAGGGCAUUCUGGAAGGGAAAUUUGGUUACCAUUGCUCAUCGCUUACCUUAUUCCUCGAUUAGCUUUUAUGCUUUUGAACGCUACAAGUAUUUUCUGCAGUUAAUUCCAGGGCUAGAUAGGCAUAGAGAAUAUGCUAGUGCAGAUGUGUGUGUGAGAUUAAUAGGUGGUGGUUUGGCAGGAAUAACAGCUGCAUCUAUGACAUACCCAUUGGAUCUCGUGAGGACACGCCUUGCUGCUCAGACGAAGACUAUAUAUUACAGAGGCAUUUCACAUGCGCUCUAUGCCAUCUGCAGAGAUGAGGGUAUUAAAGGGCUAUAUAAGGGUCUAGGAGCAACACUACUGGGGGUUGGACCUAGUAUAGCAAUCAGCUUUUCUGUUUAUGAAACUUUGAAAUCCCAUUGGCAACUACAGAGGCCACGUGAUAAUGCAGUCUUUGUUAGCCUGGCUUGUGGAAGUCUUUCUGGCAUUGCAUCAUCAACAGUGACGUUUCCAUUAGAUCUUGUGAGGAGGCGGAUGCAAUUGGAAGGGGUAGCUGGAAGGGCUCGUGUCUACAACUCGGGCCUUUUUGGGACAUUCAGGCACAUAGUUCACACUGAAGGUUUUCGAGGCUUGUACAGAGGCAUCUUGCCUGAGUACUACAAAGUUGUCCCUGGUGUUGGCAUUGUUUUCAUGACUUAUGAGAUGAUAAAGUCAUUCUUGUCUGGCAAAUCUGAUGAUGACUAGAGCUGGGAUCUUUCUAAUAUUGCAGCAUAUCUGUGAUCUUUGACUUAUGCCAAUGACACAGUUUUUUCUUAUUGGAGGUGAUGACAUAAGAAUAUGUAGUAAACCGUGAUGAAUCACAUGGUGUUCUAAUUUCAGGAUAUUACUAGUUUCAACAACAGAGAGAACUUGGUGAAAGGUUAUACUUAAGUGCCAUCGUAGGACAGAGAAACAUUAUUUGAAGAAUAUUCAAGCUGCUUUUCUGGUGUUGAUACUCAAGAUGUAGCAAGGUUAUCUUUCAUAGCUUGGAUGGCUACCUUUAAAGGGAUCUAGAUCUUUAAAAUACCGUUAUAGUUUCAGCUGAUGGACCAGACAUUUUUAUUUUGAUCCUCAAAGGACACGGGCAGGAUUAAACAAAUUCCUCCUGGCAAUCAACGGGGGAUUGCAAGAUGUUCUUUCCAUAACAGAGACAGCAACAACUCCCUCACCAAUUAGAAACAGCCUGUAUGAUGUGGCUAUUGUUAAAUCAUGAUUCAAAUAGUCAGACACUGAAGUUCCAAUUCAUGAUGGUGUCACUUAUGAAAAUCCUGUUUGAUAAGCAAUGAUAUAAAGAUGCAAGCUAUUCUGGGAAGGGUGACCUGCUUGGAGAUCAAGGAGUUGUCAUACAGAAUGUGCUAGUUGUUCUUGAUAUUCGCACACUUAAAUAAAGCUUUCUUGAUGCAAACGGACAUAGUUAAAUUGCUUUAUUUGGCUAUAUUAGUCAUUGUGUUUGUCAGUUAUUUUGAUUUCAUUAUCUGGUCGGGUUGCUGUUUACUUUGUACCUGUUUCCUUGGCAAUUUGGCGUGCUGUCAUAAUAGCUGCAGUCAGCCCAUUUAAUUUUAUGUAUUUUGUUGAGCAUUGAAAUUGAAGAGAAUAGCAGUCAC
Molecule: RNA transcript, 2226 nt
Organism: Elaeis guineensis (African oil palm)
Lineage: Eukaryota; Viridiplantae; Streptophyta; Magnoliopsida; Arecales; Arecaceae
Source: RefSeq, a predicted model, not a curated record